Molecule: long non-coding RNA, 1778 nt
Filed under: Homo sapiens (human)
Lineage: Eukaryota; Metazoa; Chordata; Mammalia; Primates; Hominidae
Description: HSALNT0318241
Source: RNAcentral
CUUUGGUAGCCUCCUUACUUGCUCCACUUGCUUCAGAGAGAGAAGUGCGGGUUUGCGGUUUAGUGAAGGAGCAAGGCUCAUGUGAAUAGAAGAAUCCAAGGUAGAGCAGGAAGAGAAAUCCAGCUAGAGAAAGAGGUGGAAGUCAAAAUAAGUAGACUCUUAUUUUAAAUUUUUAAUGGCUUCUUGGUGGCUUCAAGAUAAAAGAUAGACAAUGAGGAGCUUUGUGUUUGGGAAAAGAAUAAAAGUCAACUGUAGCAAAACCUCUCAGAAGUAGGAUUUAUAAACAGUUCUCAAAGGAUGCACAUGAAAAUGUAAUUUCUUGGGAAAGUGGCAAACAGAAAAGAAUCAAACCGCAGUUGUGUGUGGCAAGGAUAAAUAUGCAACGCACCAUCAAUAGGAUUUGUUGGGUGAAUAAAAAAGCCUUUUAGCCAACAAUAUGUAAGCAGAAGAAUGGAGCAGGAGUUAGAGAGAACCCUCAAGCAAUAAUGGAGGCCACUGGAGAGGCAAGACUGCCAAAGGCUAAGUUAUUGACCCAGUAUUUUUAAAACUGCCUCCGAAAAGAAGCCUGAACGAAAGAAAAUAAUUUGUGCUAUUAGAAUGUAUUUUUCCUUUGUGUUCCUAUCUACUUCCUUCACAAGCUAUUUUUGGUUGGUCCCGGACAAUCAGAAACCAAAGAAGAAAGCAAACAGUAGGGUUCUGCUCCUCAUUAAAGGUCUCACUUUUGGUUCCUUCGGAGAAGAAUGUAGGAAAACUCCUAGCACAGAGGAAAUUCUGAUGUAUUACUCACAGAGUUUAAUCAGACCAUAUCGCUGAUAUUUCAUUUCAAUUCUUGAUAUCAGGGGCGUUCCUUAAAAUAGAAAAUUUUAAUUUCUAAGCUUUAGAAUCAAUAGAUUGCUCUGCAAUUUCUUUCACUUGGCAUUUAAUAACAGCACUAAGUAAAUUUCCAACAUAUGACUGAACUCAACCCAUACUGUUGACAAAUUGAAAGUUUAAUUUACCUGGCAGGUUAAAAAAAAGCCAACUUUUUAAUUUAAUUACAACACUGAAAGAACUCAGGAAGUUGAAUUCAGAUGUUUUAAUCACUGCGAUUUUUGAAGCCCUACACUAAGCCUUGUCGGGGGGAUAAAGGGAGACAAAUAUUUAAACACAAGGGCCCUUUUAUGAAUACAAAUAUAGUUGUUCAAAGGAUAGAAAUGAUAAAAGGAGGAAUGUAUAAGUUCUGUCUAGAAGAUGCAUUGAAGACUUUACUCUAAAGGGGAUGUUUCAGUAAAGUUUUGACUAUUAAUAAUAUGCAGGAAUUUGUGAGGUGUAUACAGGUCUGGAGAGGGGGUUCAAACAGAGGCAACUGGAGGUGCAAAAGCAAAUGGGCAUGGAUUUAUUAGCCUGAUUUGAUCAUUCCAUAAUGUAUACAGGUAUUGAACAUUACAUGGAACCCUAUAAAUAUAUACAACUAUUAUUUGCCAAUUAAAAAUAGAAUCACGCUUAAAAAAUACACAAAUGGGCACGGACCAGCAUGAUGUCUGAAGAAAGACGACAAAAGGAAUUGAGCAGUGCUGCAGUUGAACAUGAAAUGGGUGAACAGGUUCAGCCUCUACAUUUUGCAGUAGGGCUGCAAAACAAGAGAUGAGACAAGGAAAUGAAUAUUAAUGUUAUUGAAUACUGAGGUGGGAUCAACACAGACACUAGAAAACACUCAAAUACCUAAGACUUAUAGUUAAGCUUGGCUUACUCCAGUUCAUUACUUUGGGAUGAUUUAACUAAAUAAACCAUUUAAAAAU